CCUCAUCUUCAUCUUCAUCAUCUUUGUCUUCAUCUUUGUCUUCAUCUUCAUCUUCAUCAUCUUCUGUGUCUUCUUCAAUUUUUUGGCUUUGUGUUUUCAAUGUCUUUUUCUUCUUCUUCUCCUCCUCUUCCUCCUCCUCUUCCUCCUCUUCCUCCUCCUCCUCCUCCUCUUCCUCUUCCUCUUCCUCUUCCUCUUCCUCCUCCUCUUCCUCCUCUUCCUCCUCUUCCUCCUCUUCCUCCUCCUCUUCCUCCUCUUCCUCCUCUUCCUCCUCUUCCUCCUCCUCUUCCUCCUCUUCCUCCUCUUCCUCCUCUUCCUCCUCCUCCUCUUCCUCCCGUUCCUUCUUUCUCUCUUUUCCCUCUUCCUCCUCCUCCUCCUCUCCAUCUUCUUCCUCCUCUUCCUCCUGUUCCUCCUUUUCCUUCUUCCUCCUCCUCUUCCUCCCCUUCCU
Molecule: long non-coding RNA, 445 nt
Filed under: Zonotrichia albicollis (white-throated sparrow)
Lineage: Eukaryota; Metazoa; Chordata; Aves; Passeriformes; Passerellidae
Description: lncRNA (ENSZALG00000009791.1)
Source: RNAcentral